Molecule: long non-coding RNA, 195 nt
Organism: Apis florea (little honeybee)
Lineage: Eukaryota; Metazoa; Arthropoda; Insecta; Hymenoptera; Apidae
Source: RefSeq, a predicted model, not a curated record
AAUGUUAUUAUUCUAUUUCAUAAAGAAGUAAUGAAAUUUGAUAUUUUGUAUUGAAAAUGGUACGUAAAGUUAGAAUAUGCGAGAUGUUUGCCAAGCUCGGCUGUCCCGGGACGUUUUCCCUAAUGUAGGCUUUUGCGUCCGAGUGUCAUACACAAGAAGCGUGGAGUGAACGUGUUGGUGUGCUUGUUUUGCCAG